RNAcentral lists this long non-coding RNA (1244 nucleotides) under Marmota monax (woodchuck). Lineage: Eukaryota; Metazoa; Chordata; Mammalia; Rodentia; Sciuridae. The record is from RNAcentral.
GCCAGAACCCAAAAAGGAAGAAGAGAUCAGGGUCCCUUCAAGAGCACACCCCUCAUGAACUAACUUACUCCCACUAGGCCCCACCCCCUAAAGAUUCCACCACCUCCCAUAGCACCACCCUGAGGAGCAAGCACUUAACACAUGAGCCUUUGGGGAACAUUCAACAUCCAAACCAUAGCAGUGAGGAUGCUCUUUAAAAUCCAUAUCCCUUCUAGCUGUACCCAAAGUGUCAUGUCUACUAGAUAACCUGUUCACAGCUCAAAUUCAACCUGUCUUAGACCCUGACAAGCUUCUCCUGGCAUCUUCCUCUCUCCUUUCACACAGACCUGAAUCUUUGCCUAUUUUUGGCCCUGCUCCACUUCUAAUCAUUUACCAGUUGCAAUUCAACAAAUAUUUAUGAAGCACCUGCUAACUAUGGGCCACUGUGCAAGGUUCUGAAGGAAAGCAAAAUGGGUAAGAUUGGAAAUAAGUAUAUGGUAUUUUGUUUUUAAAGAAGAAAAAAAGAUUGCUGGAAGAAAAGGGGUUGAGGGAGGAAGGGUAGGGAAAAGGAAAGAGGACAGACAGAGGGAGAGAAGGAAGAAUUAAUGGGAGGGUGGAGAGGAGAGGGGGAAAGAUAUGAUAAGAUGUCCAAGGAAAAGGGAAAGGAUCAGGACAUUUCACUCCAUCUGGCCCCUCCCUAUCCCUACUCACUUUCCACGCCUCACAGAAUUCAAACCCUCAUUACAUCAGGCCUGGGGUAAUAAACCUAAGGUAAUCUAACCCUUUUCUAAUGAAUUCCCCAGCUGCCAGUUUCUCUGCAUUUUAGUCUAUCCUACACAUCACUGCACUCUUUGAUGUCACUCCCCUACUCAGAAUCCCUCUGUGCCCCCCUUCCCCACUUACCACAGAAGUUCCAGUUUUUCAGUCUGGCAUUCAAAGCUCUCAUUAAUCUCUAUCACCCAUUUCUCUGGCUGAGUCUUCCCCUCUCUACUUUCUCAUGCCCACUCCUUCCCUAAACUCAGGCACACUCUUCUCUGGCUCAGUCUGCAGCAGCCACUUAGAACUCUCUAGUCCUUCCCUCUCUACCUAUACAAACCCUAUCAAACCCAAAUGUGACAUCUAAGAAGCCUUUCCUCAUGACUCCUGCCUCCUGUGAACCCCUAAAACUAUUCCUUUGUACGACUAUUUUAACAUACCACACACUAAAUAGUAUUGUUGCUUCUUUGGGACUGGAAGCUUCAAGAUAGUAGAAAAACUAAGCAUAU